GGGAAUAUUGCACAAUGGGGGAAACCCUGAUGCAGCGACGCCGCGUGAGUGAAGAAGUAUUUCGGUAUGUAAAGCUCUAUCAGAAAGAACGAGACAAGACGGUACCUGACUAAGAAGCCCCGGCUGACUACGUGCCAGCAGCCGCGGUAAUACGUAGGGGGCAAGCGUUAUCCGGAAUCACUGGGUGUAAAGGGAGCGUAGACGGCUGAGCAAGCCUGAAGUGAAAGGCGGGGGCCCAACCCCCGGACUGCUUUGGGAACUGUACGGCUGGAGUGCAGGAGAGGUAAGUGGAAUUCCUAGUGUAGCGGUGAAAUGCGUAGAUAUUAGGAGGAACACCAGUGGCGAAGGCGGAUUGCUGGACAGUAACUGACGCUGAGGCGCGAAAUCGUGGGGAGCAAACAGG
Molecule: ribosomal RNA, 403 nt
Filed under: uncultured bacterium
Lineage: Bacteria
Description: bacterial SSU rRNA
Rfam family: Bacterial small subunit ribosomal RNA
Source: RNAcentral